AGAACGAACGCUGGCGGCAUGCCUAACACAUGCAAGUCGAACGAGCUCUUCGGAGCUAGUGGCGCACGGGUGCGUAACGCGUGGGAACCUGCCCUUAGGUUCGGAAUAACUCCCCGAAAGGGGUGCUAAUACCGGAUAAUGUCUUCGGACCAAAGAUUUAUCGCCUUUGGAUGGGCCCGCGUUGGAUUAGCUUGUUGGUGGGGUAAUGGCCUACCAAGGCGACGAUCCAUAGCUGGUCUUAGAGGAUGAUCAGCCACACUGGGACUGAGACACGGCCCAGACUCCUACGGGAGGCAGCAGUGGGGAAUAUUGGACAAUGGGCGAAAGCCUGAUCCAGCAAUGCCGCGUGAGUGAUGAAGGCCUUAGGGUUGUAAAGCUCUUUUACCCGGGAUGAUAAUGACAGUACCGGAGAAUAAGCCCGGCUAACUCCGUGCCAGCAGCCGC
RNAcentral lists this ribosomal RNA (444 nucleotides) under uncultured bacterium. Its description in RNAcentral is "SSU rRNA". It matches the Rfam family "Bacterial small subunit ribosomal RNA", at positions 26 to 518 of the family's 1533-position model. The record is from RNAcentral.